This 1464-nucleotide ribosomal RNA is filed under the name metagenome. Its description in RNAcentral is "bacterial SSU rRNA". It matches the Rfam family "Archaeal small subunit ribosomal RNA". The record is from RNAcentral.
UCCGAUUGAUCCCGUCGGACCCCACUGCUAUCGAGAUGGGACUAAGGUAUGCUAGUCGAACGACCAGAACUAUGUCUGGAAGUGGCACACUGCUCAGUAACACGUAGCUAACCUACCCUUAGGACGUGGAUACCCCCGAGAAAUUGGGGUUAAUCCGCGAUAGAUGUAAUGUCCUGGAAUGGUAUUACGUCUAAAGGUAUUUCAUACAUGUUUGAAAUAUGCCUAAGGAUGGGGCUGCGGCCGAUCAGGCUGUUGGUGAGGUAAUGGCUCACCAAACCUUUGACCGGUACGGGCCAUGAGAGUGGUAGCCCGGAGAUGGACACUGAGACAAGGGUCCAGGCCCUAAGGGGCGCAGCAACCGCGAAACCUCCACAAUGCACUCACGUGCGAUGGGGCUAUCUCGAGUGCCACCUGAUGAAGGUGGCUUUUUCCUUGGUCUUCAAAGCCUUGGGAAUAAGAGGGGGGCAAGACUGGUGUCAGCCGCCGCGGUAACACCAGCCCCUCGAGUGGUGGGGAUGUUUAUUUGGCCUAAAGCGUCCGUAGCCGGCCAUGUAAGUCUCCCGUUAAAUCCAGCGUCUCAGGCGUUGGACUGCGGGAGAUACUGCAGGGCUAGAGAGUGGGAGAGGUCAGCGGUAUUCUGGGGGUAGGGGCGAAAUCCUUUGAUCCCCGGAGGACCACCAGUGGCGAAGGCUGCUGACUAGAACACGUCUGACGGUCAGGGACGAAAGCUGGGGUAGCGAACCGGAUUAGAUACCCGGGUAGUCCCAGCCGUAAACGAUGCAUGCUAGGUGUUGGGUUGGCCACGCGCCACCCCAGUGCCGCAGGGAAGCCGUUAAGCAUGCCGCCUGGGAAGUACGAUCGCAAGAUUGAAACUUAAAGGAAUUGGCGGGGGAGCACCACCAGGCGUGAAGCCUGCGGUUUAAUUGGAGUCAACGCCGGGAACCUUACCGGGAGCGACAGCAGUGUGAAGGCCAGAUUGAAGAUCUUGCCAGACGAGCUGAGAGGAGCUGCAUGGCCGUCGCCAGUUCGUGCCGUGAGGUGUUCUCUUAAGUGAGAUAGCGAACGAGACCCGUGCCACAUGUUGCCACCAGUAUCUAAAGGAUAGCUGAGCACUCUUGUGGGACCGCAGCCGAUAAGGCUGAGGAAGGUACGGGCAACGGCAGGUCAGUAUGCCCCGAAUCUCCCGGGCCACACGCGGGCUGCAAUGGUACAGACAGAGGGCUGCCACCCCGAGAGGGGGAGCCAAUCCCUAAACUGUACCUCAGUUGGGAUCGAGGGUUGCAACCCACCCUCGUGAACAUGGAAUGCCUAGUAACCGCCAGUCAUCAUCUGGCGGUGAAUACGUCCCUGCUCCUUGCACACACUGCCCGUCGAACCACCCAAAUGAGGUUUGGGUGAGGAAUGGUCGAAUGUUGGCCGUUUCGAACCUGGGCCUCGUAAGGAGGGUUAAGUCGUAACAAGGUG